Molecule: long non-coding RNA, 1178 nt
Filed under: Sus scrofa (pig)
Lineage: Eukaryota; Metazoa; Chordata; Mammalia; Artiodactyla; Suidae
Description: lncRNA (ENSSSCG00035015450.1)
Source: RNAcentral
CCCCUAGCCUGGGAACCUCCAUAUGCCAUGGGAGCGGCCCUAAAAAUUUGAUUCAAAAUGGAAUCACUUAAAAUUCUUGUUUUACUGAAUGAUAAUGAGCAGUCGGUAAAUAUUAAGCUUUGUGCUAGUGUAAUGCAGAACCAGCCACGGUAGGGCUCUAGACCCUUAGGAGAUUCCUUUAAUUUUCUGAAUCAGCGUUGUACAUCCUAUGUGCCAGCAUUUUCCUUUGGCCCUCAUAAAAACUAAUCCUGCUUUGAUUUUUACUCCCGUUGUCUCCAUUGCACAUGACCUGAUUCUCUUAGGGAAAUUCUUAGUUUUUUUUUCUUUUCUUUUUCUUUUUAGGGCCAAACCUGUGGCAUAUGGAAGUUGCCAAGCUAUGGGUUGAAUUGGAGCUGCAGCUGCUGGCAUACACUACAGCCACAGCAAUGCCAGAUCGGAGCCUCGUCUGUGACCUACACUGCAGCUCAUGGCAACCCCAGAUCCUUAACCCACUGAGCUGGGCCAGGAAUUGAACCCACAUCCUCAUGGAUACUAGUCAGAUUCAUUACCGAUGAACGACAAAGGGAACUGCAGUAAGAUUCUUUCUGUGGGUAUAGUGCCCAGAAGCUCAAACUAAUAACAAAAAUAGAAUAUAGAUAUAAAAUGUGCUUAAUAGAUCCUAGUUAAAGAAUCUAUCAGGCCGCAUACCUAGCCACAGAGCUGAUUUUAAUGGAAAUGUUAAUGAAAUUGGUAAUCACCAGAAUGAUUCAACUGUGUGUUACUAAAGUUCUUCGCAGAAGACAGGUCACCCCUUCUGUUCAUGUUUCAGCUUCACUGAGCUGUACAGGAAAGACUGAGAUGGAAAACUUAAGAAUCUGCAGUGCUAUCCACUUCCGAAGCCUUACUUAGCCUGCUGGUUAAUAAAAUUAUCUGUUAUAGAAGAGAAAGUAGGGAAUUCUCUUGUGGCACAGUGGGUUAAGGAUCUGGCAUUGUCAUUGCAGCAGCUUGGGUUGCUCGUGUGCCAUGGGUUCAAUCCCUGGCCAGGAACUUCCGAAUACCAUGGGCAUGCCCCCCCCACUCCAUAGAUCUAGUAUAGUAAAGUUGAAAAUUUUUGUCUGCCACUUCCUUUGCCUGCAAUGAAUGAACCCAUUUCUGCAAAUCCUUUCUAGUGAAUGCUGAAUUUUGUUUGUUUGUUGGCC